This 301-nucleotide ribosomal RNA is filed under the name uncultured bacterium. Its description in RNAcentral is "partial 16S ribosomal RNA". It matches the Rfam family "Bacterial small subunit ribosomal RNA", at positions 509 to 807 of the family's 1533-position model. The record is from RNAcentral.
CAGCAGCCACGGUAAUACGUAGGGUGCGAGCGUUAAUCGGAAUUACUGGGCGUAAAGCGUGCGUAGGCGGCUUCUUAAGUCGGAUGUGAAAUCCCUGAGCUUAACUUAGGAAUUGCAUUCGAUACUGGGAAGCUAGAGUAUGGGAGAGGAUGGUAGAAUUCCAGGUGUAGCGGUGAAAUGCGUAGAGAUCUGGAGGAAUACCGAUGGCGAAGGCAGCCAUCUGGCCUAAUACUGACGCUGAGGUACGAAAGCAUGGGGAGCAAACAGGAUUAGAUACCCCGGUAGUCCCUGUCUCUUAUAC